GGGUUUCCGCCCUUCAGUGCCGGAGCUAACGCAUUAAGCACUCCGCCUGGGGAGUACGACCGCAAGGUUGAAACUCAAAGGAAUUGACGGGGGCCCGCACAAGCGGUGGAGCAUGUGGUUUAAUUCGAAGCUACGCGAAGAACCUUACCAGGUCUUGACAUCUUGCGCUAACCUUAGAGAUAAGGCGUUCCCUUCGGGGACGCAAUGACAGGUGGUGCAUGGUCGUCGUCAGCUCGUGUCGUGAGAUGUUGGGUUAAGUCCCGCAACGAGCGCAACCCUUGUUACUAGUUGCCAGCAUUAAGUUGGGCACUCUAGUGAGACUGCCGGUGACAAACCGGAGGAAGGUGGGGACGACGUCAGAUCAUCAUGCCCCUUAUGACCUGGGCUACACACGUGCUACAAUGGACGGUACAACGAGUCGCAAGCUCGCGAGAGUAAGCUAAUCUCUUAAAGCCGUUCUCAGUUCGGACUGUAGGCUGCAACUCGCCUACACGAAGUCGGAAUCGCUAGUAAUCGCGGAUCAGCAUGCCGCGGUGAAUACGUUCCCGGGCCUUGUACACACCGCCCGUCACACCAUGGGAGUUUGUAACGCCCAAAGUCGGUGGCCUAACCAUUA
Molecule: ribosomal RNA, 616 nt
Filed under: Limosilactobacillus reuteri
Lineage: Bacteria; Bacillati; Bacillota; Bacilli; Lactobacillales; Lactobacillaceae
Description: bacterial SSU rRNA
Rfam family: Bacterial small subunit ribosomal RNA
Source: RNAcentral